CAGGGGUCUUCAACAGUCUUUCACUUCAAAGUUACUGGGCGCCUCCAUGAGUCGGGCCCUGGGGCCUUUGGUCCGGGGUCCGGCGUCCGGCGUGUUCCUGCGUCCCGCCCCACAAGCAGGGAGGGCGGUGGCCCCGGGACUCGAGGUCGGGAUUCUAGGGGUCGCGCCAGCCCCACAAGUUUAAGGAACCCUGAGGCCUUCGCAGGAUUUGGGGUCGUCCUCUGCGGAGUGGGGGAGGGGGAGCGGACGUGCACGCGGGCGCACUCUCAGGCCGCCUCGCGCCGCCGCCUUGGAAAGGCCGCGCGCUCCCGCAGGGCCGCGUUCCCGGGCGCCCCAUGCAAAUGAGACCCGGAGCGCCCUCCCACCCCGCGCCUCCGGAAGUUGCGGGCCGGGCGCCCGCUCUCCCCACCCCCACCCCCCGACCCUCGGCAACCUCGUCCUUCCCCUGCCCGGCGGCCGCAGCGAUGGCGGCGGCGAUGGCAGCGCGGCGCGCGCGCCCCGUGCGGGUGCUGGUGGACAUGGACGGCGUGCUGGCCGACUUCGAGGCGGGCCUCCUGCGGGGCUUCCGCCGCCGCUUCCCUGGGGAACCGCACGUGACGCUGGAAGAGCGCCGCGGCUUCCUCGCCCGCGAGCAGUACCGAGCCCUGCGGCCGGACCUGGCGGACAAAGUUGCCAGUGUGUAUGAAGCCCCAGGCUUUUUCCUAGACUUGGAGCCUAUCCCUGGAGCCUUGGAAGCCAUGCAGGAGAUGAACAACAUGCAGGACACGGAGGUCUUCAUCUGCUCCAGCCCUCUGCUGAAUACCGCUGGGUGGAGAAUCACCUGGGGCCCCAGUUUGUGGAGCGCAUUAUCCUGACGAGGGACAAGACGAUGGUCUUGGGGGACCUGCUCAUUGAUGACAAGGACACCAUUCGAGGCCAAGAGGAGACCCCAAGCUGGGAGCACAUCUUGUUCACCUGCUGCCACAACCAGCACCUAGCCCUAUGCCCAACAAGGAGACGGCUGCUCUCUUGGAGUGACAACUGGAGGGAGAUCAUAGAAAGCAAGCGGGGGGCCAGAAUAGUGGAUAGUAGCUGAAGGAAGGGAAGGCAGGCCAGCAGGGAACCCCAGCAGAGCUGAAUGGCAGGUCAGUGUCGUGGAGGUGGCCCCCAGCACCGUGGAACAGGGAGACACAGUAACCUCCAUUCUCAAAAGCCAGCCACCUGGAACCCAACAAGAUGGCUGGCAAGGAAACAUGGUGGGAAAAUCACUCAGGAACCUUUUUAAUAAAACACUUUGACUCACCACUC
Molecule: RNA transcript, 1287 nt
Organism: Zalophus californianus (California sea lion)
Lineage: Eukaryota; Metazoa; Chordata; Mammalia; Carnivora; Otariidae
Gene: NT5C
Gene name: 5', 3'-nucleotidase, cytosolic
Exons: 5
Source: RefSeq, a predicted model, not a curated record